RNAcentral lists this long non-coding RNA (5759 nucleotides) under Sus scrofa (pig). Its description in RNAcentral is "lncRNA (ENSSSCG00050050365.1)". Lineage: Eukaryota; Metazoa; Chordata; Mammalia; Artiodactyla; Suidae. The record is from RNAcentral.
GAACCAUGCAAACAAAAUUAAAUUAUUUCCCUGCUCGAAACAUGAUGGUGUCUCUCCAUCCACUUAGAAAACGAUCGGACCUUUCCUGGCCUACAACACCCUGUGUGCUCUGAACCCUUCUUACUUCCCCUUUGACCGUAUUACCUCCCACCACCUGCUUUGGUUGGUGAUGCUCCCACCACAUUUAUCUUGGGAUGUCCUUAGAUGUCCUCUCCCUGGGGUUCUCGCCCUGUGUUGCCCUCUCAACUUGACCCUGACUUGGCCAUGAGACAAGAGCCAUGUGGCAUCAGAGGAAGCUUGCUAAACACCACCCAGUGGGGGUCUUUCUCUGGCUGCUUGUGGAGGAAGCCUGAACCACCUACUCUUUGAAGAGUGGCCCAGGCGUUCCCACCGUGGCUCAGUGGAAACAAAUCUGACUAGCAUCCAUGAGGAUGCAGGUUCAAUCCCUAGCCUCACUCAUGGGUUAAGGAUCUCGUGUUGCCAUGAGCUGUGGUGUAGGUGGCAAAUGUGGCUCAGAUCCCGAGUCGCUGUGCCUGUGACAUAGGCUAGCAGCUACAGUUCCCAUUCAGCCUUGGAACCUCUGAGUGCUAUGGAUGCAGCCCUAAAAAGACAAAAAAAAUUUUUUUAAUUGAAGAGUGACCCUUGGCUCCAUUUGUUUCAUCAUCUCUGCCAACCUCCAGAUGCACAGUGAGCUAAGCCGUCCUGGGAGGAGCCGCCACAGCCGAGCCCAGGCCAAACGGCUGAGCUAUUGUGACCAACACACGAUGUUGUUUGUCAGUCGGUUUUGAGGUGGUGGGUCAUUGGCACUAGAUGGCUGGUCUACACCAGUCUCCUUUCCGCCUGGUCCUAUUGUCCCUCUGCCUGGGCUGACCUCUUCCUGCAUCCCGUUCAGAGGGUUCCCUUUGGUCCAUCAGAUCUCAGCUUGGCCCCACCCCCCUGACCACUGGCCCGGCUGAGUCUCAGCUCCCCUCCCUGCUGUGCCAUCAAGUUGGCCUCACAUCAGAGCGCUUACCUGAGGUGCCUUGACCACAUUUUUCAAAACAAAGACACCAUUAGCUAUAACGUAUCCCCACUUCAGCAGUGUUAAAAUGUGAAAAGAGAUACGUUUGUGGCUUAGAUGACAUACAAAAUUCAAUUGUUCAUUUUUUGUCUUUGCCGAGAACACAUAUGCUCCACGAGAGCCGGAGGUCUUGCCCUCCUCCGGUCAUUCUCCAUACUGCUGUCAAUAUUUCUAAAGUGCUAAUCCACGCACACCUCUUUUCUACUUGAAAGGCCUCUUUGGCCCCUCGUUCCUCACGGGGUGAACUCCAAAAUCCUUGCAUGGCUCACCUGCCCUUUGCGUCUGGUUUUGCCCCCAGGUCCCUCCAGAUCCAGGCCUCCCUCCGCUUUGCUCAUCCCCCGGGCAGCAGCCAUCUUCAUUCGGGUCCCAGGCCACGGAUUCCUGGCCUUACAGCCACUACCAGGAUGGCACUUGGCCUGAUGUGCCUUCCCUGCCCCUGCCACCCCUCGACAGGGCUGAUCCCUGCCAAUCAUCCAUCCCCAACCCACACAUUCUCUGCUCCCCCACCUGAUUUAACUUCCUCCAUCAUGGAAGUUAAAUGCCAAUAACUAUUUAUUGCAAUUAUGAAAUAUCUGCACAAUAGUUCAUUUAAUAUAUAUUUAUUGAGCACCUUCUAGGUACACAGUGUUGGGCACUGAGUUCACUGCAGUAAAGGAAACGGCAAAACCCCUGCCCUAAUGGGGCUUCUGCUUCAGUGAAGGCAAACAGACGUUAAAGAAGAUGAAUAAGCAAUAUGGGGAACACGGGCUAAUGAGGAAUAUGGGGAAAGUUAAGACCAAAAAAGGAAAAUAGGAAAUGCUGGUGGCCGAGGGGCUAUAAUUCUACGUGGAAAGCCCAGGAAAGGGUCCAGGGAGGGCCUGACAAGCUGGGCUCUGAUGUAGGCCCUGUGGCCUGAGACACAGCCUUCUUCCUCUCCCCCGCGGACUGAGCCAGAUGUGCUCUCAACUGGCUCACCCCUGGUGAGAGCGGCCAGGUGUCAGGGGCCAAAUCACCCAGUAUCAUCUCCAGGGACCACAGAGGUAGGGACUGAACUGUUUUUCAUAUCAGUGGGGUCUAAGCCCUGAGGCUGAGGCGGCCGAUGUGAACACAACCCACCGAUUCUUUUAACAUGUAUAACCAAAAGCCAACCGCUCACAUCCAUUUCAGACAUAGCAUUAGUGCAGGAGCUGCUGUAUUCGAAGCAGGAUGCUUCAACCCGCUUUACAUCUUAGGCCCAUAGGCAAGACUUUGGAGUCUGAUGACCAAAGAGGCGGACUACAAAGCAGAAGGAGAUUAUCGGAGCUGAACCUCGCCGAGACACCUGGGACGGGGAACAAUGAAGGGGAUUCAUGUCAACAUGGACAUGACAGGUAUCUAAUACUUUCCUGAAAGUAGGUUUUGUAAAAGUGGGAGAGAAUAGGAGAGCCUUGAGUGUUUAAAUGUGAAAUGGAGAUGGGGGAGGGGGGAUGCAAAGCACACCUCUGUCAAUGUCUACACUUUAUUCAAGCAACUGCCCCGUUUGGCUGUUCCUCUUCUCAGCUCAAAGGGGAUCUUGGUCCAUAAUGGUCAUGUCAGUUUCUUAUUUACCAUGACUGCUGAUGGAUUGCUUUUCCUCCAGGUACGAUGUAUGAUGUUUUUAUGAUGCUGUUCAAAACUGCCUGCAUUUAUUCAUAUGUAUUUAUAUUUAUCCAACACAAAAUCAGUGCACUGUGAUAAGGUCUACAGAGAUGGAUAAAUGAGGUGCUUGGCUUAUAAAUCACUGGCUUCCAAACUUGACUGUGCAUCUGAAAAGGCAAUACAUACAGUUAAUAAUAAUUUAACCAUCAUAAUGUUUAUGUAAUUAAAACACAGGAACACCUGUAAGUUAAUAGUUUGGCGACCAUCUUUCCAGAAACAUUGAUAUUUUGCAUGUUUUCUCUCUGUUUUUCGUACAUUGAUUUAUUAUUUAGAUAGUUUUAAAAUACAUUUCAGGAGGUUCUGAAGCAGCAGGUUAAGGAUCUGGCAUUGCCUCAGCUAUGGCACAGACUGAAACUGUGGCGUGGAUUCGAUUCCUUGCCCAGGAAAUUCCACAGGCCAUGCGUGUGCCCCCCCCCAAAGAAAUACAUUUCUGAUAGGAAGAUAAAGCCUUCUUCAUUAUAAAUCUUAAAAAAUAUGUAAGAUCAUAGUCAUAAUCAAAAUUUCUGAACCUUUGAACAAAGCACGAUUUUGUUAAAUUCUUAAUAAAACUAAGUGAUAGGUACUUAGCUUUUAAACUGGUUUUGCUGCAUUAAACAGUGCCAUGUUUAGCAUCUUUGUGUAUUCAUUUUCCAAAUGUGAAAUUGUUACACUACCCUAAGGCAAGGCUGCGCCCACCAACAUUACAAAAGCCUCACCUGUGAAGGAAAUCAUGGUGUUUUGUGGUUCAAGUACAGUCGAUUAUUGUUGCUGUGUUUCUUCUGAUUUUCUGUAUAUGUUCGCAGAAAUUGGACGUGGCACUGGCUAGAGGAAUAAUUGUUUUCUAUUACAGUAUGCUCUUAUUUCUAAAGCAGCAACUUCAUAUGAAUCGAAGAUAGAAAGAAGGAAAAUAUGUCUAAUUUGGGGCAUAGAUCCAUGCUCAAUUUUGAAGCAAAGACCCUAAAAGUGAAAAGACUGCAGACAGCAGCUAAUGGCAUGAGUGGGUCUGAUGUCUGUGUGGUGGGGACGGCCUUACACUUUGUUUUGCUAAUGCAAAUAGCAGGAGCAACCAAAAGAGCAGCUAAUGCGGCUUUAGGCUAAAUACAGCAAUUCCUCUUCUUUAACAGGAAGUACCUUGGAGUAAGAGAGAAGUAACUUGAAUUCACCAGUGGAACCAGGGUUCGAUCUAGGUUUGACAGAGCCAUGCUCUUGACCUUAGUUACCUUGACUUUGAUACUUUAUAGAUAUGAAAAUGAAAACAAGCUCUUAAGGGUGUAUUAAACAAAAGGAAUUUUUUUGUUGUUGUCUUUUGUCUUUUCUAGGGCUGCACCUGAUGCAUAUGGAAGUUGCCAGGCCAGGGGCAGGGGUCUAAUAGGAGCUAUAGCUGCCGGCCUGCACCAUAGCCACAGCAAUGCAGGAUCCGAGCUGUGUCUUCGACCUACACCACAGCUUACGAUAACGCCGGAUCCUUGAUCCACUGAGCGAGGCCAAGGAUUGAACCUGCAACCUCAUGGUUCCUAGUGGGAUUCAUUAAACAUUUGGCCACUCCAGGAACUUCUGAAACAAAAGGAAUUUUAUUUGAGUAAGAUACUAAGGUAUUGAUACCUAGACAAUCAUUUUUUUUUUAAUUUAAAGGACAUAUGCAUUAAUUGCUUAUUUAUUUAUUCAAAAAUAUGUGCUUUUGCUUCAUAUUUGCAGUCACCUGAACAUGUGCUGGUGAUUGAGACAGAUGUGGGCCAGGCUUUCAUAAAAGUGUUGGCCUGAGGAAGGGCCAGCAGGGCAGCAGACCGCUGUAGAACCACGAGGAGAAGGCUCAGGUGAGGUUUGAACCUUAAGUCCAGGAUUAUCCUUAAAGCAGAUGAAAGCUAAAUAGAAGUGGUUAACUUCACAUCUUAAAAACAAAAUUGUGGCAUUCCUGUGGUGGCUCAGGGGGUUAAGAACCCAACUAGUAUCCAUGAGGAUGCAGGUUUGAUCACUGGCCUUGCUCAGUGGGUUAAGGAGCUGGUAUUGCCAUGAGCUGUGGUGUAGGUCACAGAUGCGGCUCAGAUCUGGUAUUGCUGCGGCUGUGGCGUCAGCCUGCCACUGCAGCUCCAGUUCGACCCCAAGCCUGGGAACUUUCAUACGCCAUGGGUGCCAUUCUAAAAAGACAAAACGAACAAACAAACAAACAAACAAAAAUUGAGUCUUAACUUAGAAUCCUACUGGAAAUACUAGACAACUGUGACAUCCAAGGUUCAUGGAUAAGUUAUUUUUUAUUUUCUAGCUGGCCUCCUGGUAUGAGCAGAAUUUCAGAUAAAGCUUAGGAAAAUAUGCAGCUUUUGGGAACUUGGCAGUUUUCUUUAGUUUAGUGUUUCUCAUAAUUUAUGGAUCUCCUGGGAAAGUUGUUUCUCUCCGGUUUCUGGGAUUUGCUAGAACUUUGUAGACAUCUUCUGACAGGCAGCUUUCAGAGAGAUAAAAAUUUCCAAAAGCUAUAUUUUAACCUUUUUACUGAAGUCCCUUGAUACUAGGUUUCCCAGCUGCUGAGCCAGAUGCAUGUAAAUGGGCUUCACUGUGCAGACUGGGUGUGGCCAGUGGGGAUGUUCACGGCCAGCUCUGCCUCCUAAGAGCCCCUGGGGAAUGGCCUUGUCCCUUGGGUACCAGUGAUCUCCUAGUGAAAAGGAUUAGUCCUGUUUUUGCUGGGGAUGUCCACUGUCUGACAAAGUGGCUGCUCGAUGAUUCUGGGUGGAAUGAGGGACAUGUCUAUCUGAGAAGACUUUAAAAGACAGAAAGUUACAGCAGAAAUCAUUACAACCUUUGUAAAUCAACUAUACUGCAAUAAAACUUGAAAAAAUGAAAGAAAAAAAAGAUAGAAGGCAUUCCCGUUGUGGCUCAGCAAGUUAAGAACCCCACUAAAAUCCAUGAAGAUGUGGGUUUGAUCCCUGGCUUCGCUCAGUGGAUUAAGGAUCCAGUGUUGCCGUGAGCUGCAGUGUAGGUUGAAGAUGUGGCUCGGAUCCCAUGUGGUGUAGGCCAGCAGCUGCAGCUCCAAUUGGACCCCUAGCAGGAAUGUCUAUAUACUGCAGGUGCAGCC